CCAAUGUGAACGUUACAAACUGUUGCCUCGGCGGGGUCACGCCCCGGGUGCGUCGCAGCCCCGGAACCAGGCGCCCGCCGGAGGAACCAACCAAACUCUUUCUGUAGUCCCCUCGCGGACGUAUUUCUUACAGCUCUGAGCAAAAAUUCAAAAUGAAUCAAAACUUUCAACAACGGAUCUCUUGGUUCUGGCAUCGAUGAAGAACGCAGCGAAAUGCGAUAAGUAAUGUGAAUUGCAGAAUUCAGUGAAUCAUCGAAUCUUUGAACGCACAUUGCGCCCGCCAGUAUUCUGGCGGGCAUGCCUGUCCGAGCGUCAUUUCAACCCUCGAACCCCUCCGGGGGAUCGGCGUUGGGGAUCGGGACCCCUCACACGGGUGCCGGCCCCGAAAUACAGUGGCGGUCUCGCCGCAGCCUCUCCUGCGCAGUAGUUUGCACAACUCGCACCGGGAGCGCGGCGCGUCCACGUCCGUAAAACACCCAACUUUCUGAAAUGUUGACCUCGGAUCAGGUAGGAAUACCCGCUGAACUUAAGCAUAUCAAUAAGCGGAGGA
This 550-nucleotide ribosomal RNA is filed under the name Trichoderma asperellum. RNAcentral's name for it is "eukaryotic LSU rRNA". The stretch from base 162 to 315 matches the Rfam family "5.8S ribosomal RNA". The record is from RNAcentral. Lineage: Eukaryota; Fungi; Ascomycota; Sordariomycetes; Hypocreales; Hypocreaceae.